RNAcentral lists this long non-coding RNA (1058 nucleotides) under Homo sapiens (human). RNAcentral's name for it is "HSALNT0403657". Lineage: Eukaryota; Metazoa; Chordata; Mammalia; Primates; Hominidae. The record is from RNAcentral.
GCUGAGCUUUAGUCCUUUUGAGGGUUGGUAUAUUUACUUUUCAUUCAAGGUUCUUUCACCUUGAUUGAUCCUGAACUUGUUUUUGUAUUCCCAGACAUGUAAGACAGCCUAAAAUUCUGCUCACCUUUUCAACCUCUGGUCCUCUGUUUUCUGCUCAUUAUUUCCCACUAUUUAGCUUCUUAGCCUUAGGCUACUGCUUAUGAAUUGGCAGUUGCCUCAAGGGGAAAACAGGUGCUAAAUGUCAUUCUCACCUUUGCACUUCCCUUUUGGACACGGUCUUGACCCUUCAAUUUCUUACUACCUUGGUGGCUCUCUUGUUUAAGCGGAUAUCCUCAUCUAUGUUUCUGUAUCUGUAAGUGUAUCUCAUUUUUGAGUAGAGUCACUGGCCUGACAAAAGUAUAUUCUAGCCAAAAUAAGAGAAGUCCCCACAAUUUGUUUAAUGACAAAAGCUCCACUAGAGAGAAGCAGUUACCUAGAUAAGUCUUAGAAUGUCAAUUCCAUUCUUUCUCUUUGCUUUUUGUGGAUAAUGUAUAACCUUUAUAGCAGUCAUAUAUGCACAUACAAUGUUUUGGUAUCCCUGCUUGAGCACUUUUGGAAAACCUUUACCAUCUGUGCCUUAAAUCCAUGUAGAGCUUGUGAACACAAAAUAUGUGAGACAGGUCUCAGUCAAUUUAGGAAGUUUAUUUUGCCAAAGUUAAGGAUGUGCCCAUGGCAUAGCUUCAGGAAGUCCUGAGACACGUGCCCAAGGUGUUUGGGGGUACAGUUUGCUUUUAUACAUUUUAGGGAGACAUGAGACAGCUAUGUGUAAGAUGUACAUUAGUUCAGUCCGGUAAGGCAGGACAACUCGAAGUGGCCCCGUUAGAAGUAGGUAAGACGCAAAAGGUUGCAUUCUUUUAAGUCGUAGAUCAGCCUUCCACUGAAUACACAAUUUAGUCUGGUUCAGUGGAUCUGCAUUUUCACAGAAACAAUAGGAGAGAGGAAGCAAUCAGAUAUGCGUUUGUUUCAGGUGAGCCUCAGACGGAUGACUUUGAAUAGAAGGGGAGGCAGGUUUGCCCUAA